UACGGAGGGAGCUAGCGUUGUUCGGAAUUACUGGGCGUAAAGCGCGCGUAGGCGGCUUUGUAAGUUAGAGGUGAAAGCCCGGGGCUCAACCCCGGAAUAGCCUUUAAGACUGCAUCGCUAGAAUCCGGGAGAGGUGAGUGGAAUUCCGAGUGUAGAGGUGAAAUUCGUAGAUAUUCGGAAGAACACCAGUGGCGAAGGCGGCUCACUGGACCGGCAUUGACGCUGAGGUGCGAAAGCGUGGGGAGCAAACAGG
RNAcentral lists this ribosomal RNA (253 nucleotides) under uncultured bacterium. Its description in RNAcentral is "partial 16S ribosomal RNA". It matches the Rfam family "Bacterial small subunit ribosomal RNA", at positions 524 to 776 of the family's 1533-position model. The record is from RNAcentral.